UGAGGAAUAUUGGACAAUGGGCGCAAGCCUGAUCCAGCCAUGCCGCGUGCAGGAAGAAGCAUCUAUGGUGUGUAAACUGCUUUUGUACGGGAAGAAACACUCCUACGUGUAGGAGCUUGACGGUACCGUAAGAAUAAGGAUCGGCUAACUCCGUGCCAGCAGCCGCGGUAAUACGGAGGAUCCAAGCGUUAUCCGGAAUCAUUGGGUUUAAAGGGUCCGUAGGCGGUUUAAUAAGUCAGUGGUGAAAGCCCAUCGCUCAACGAUGGAACGGCCAUUGAUACUGCUAGACUUGAAUUACAAGGAAGUAACUAGAAUAUGUAGUGUAGCGGUGAAAUGCUUAGAUAUUACAUGGAAUACCAAUUGCGAAGGCAGGUUACUACUUGUGGAUUGACGCUGAUGGACGAAAGCGUGGGGAGCGAACG
RNAcentral lists this ribosomal RNA (422 nucleotides) under uncultured bacterium. Its description in RNAcentral is "bacterial SSU rRNA". It matches the Rfam family "Bacterial small subunit ribosomal RNA", at positions 355 to 774 of the family's 1533-position model. The record is from RNAcentral.